AUUGAACGCUGGCGGAAUGCUUUACACAUGCAAGUCGAACGGCAGCACGGACUUCGGUCUGGUGGCGAGUGGCGAACGGGUGAGUAAUGUAUCGGAACGUGCCCAGUCGUGGGGGAUAACGUAGUGAAAAUUACGCUAAUACCGCAUACGAUCUAUGGAUGAAAGCGAGGGAUCGCAAGACCUCGCGCGAUUGGAGCGGCCGAUAUCAGAUUAGGUAGGUGGUGGGGUAAAGGCCCACCAAGCCAACGAUCUGUAGCUGGUCUGAGAGGACGACCAGCCACACUGGAACUGAGACACGGUCCAGACUCCUACGGGAGUCAGCAGUGGGGAAUUUUGGACAAUGGGCGAAAGCCUGAUCCAGCCAUUCCGCGUGCAGGAUGAAGGCCCUCGGGUUGUAAACUGCUUUUGUACAGAACGAAAAGGUUUCUACUAAUACUAGGAGCUCAUGACGGUACUGUAAGAAUAAGCACCGGCUAACUACGUGCCAGCAGCCGCCGUAA
This 500-nucleotide ribosomal RNA is filed under the name uncultured bacterium. RNAcentral's name for it is "partial 16S ribosomal RNA". It matches the Rfam family "Bacterial small subunit ribosomal RNA", at positions 30 to 523 of the family's 1533-position model. The record is from RNAcentral.